CGAAAGCCUGACGGAGCAAUACCGCGUGAGGGAUGACUGCCUAUGGGUUGUAAACCUCUUUUUUCAGGGAGGAAUAAAUGACGUGUACCUGAAGAAUAAGCAUCGGCUAACUCCGUGCCAGCAGCCGCGGUAAGACGGAGGAUGCAAGUGUUAUCCGGAAUCACUGGGCGUAAAGCGUCUGUAGGUGGCUUAAUAAGUCAACUGUUAAAUCUUAAAGCUUAACUUUGAAAUCGCAGUCGAAACUAUUAGACUAGAGUAUAGUAGGGGUAAAGGGAAUUUCCAGUGGAGCGGUGAAAUGCGUAGAGAUUGGAAAGAACACCGAUGGCGAAAGCACUUUACUGGGCUAUUACUAACACUCAGAGACGAAAGCUAGGGUAGCA
Molecule: ribosomal RNA, 380 nt
Filed under: uncultured cyanobacterium
Lineage: Bacteria; Bacillati; Cyanobacteriota
Description: bacterial SSU rRNA
Rfam family: Bacterial small subunit ribosomal RNA
Source: RNAcentral